This 235-nucleotide ribosomal RNA is filed under the name Mesorhizobium sp. RNAcentral describes it as "partial 23S ribosomal RNA". It matches the Rfam family "Bacterial large subunit ribosomal RNA", at positions 2706 to 2925 of the family's 2925-position model. The record is from RNAcentral. Lineage: Bacteria; Pseudomonadati; Pseudomonadota; Alphaproteobacteria; Hyphomicrobiales; Phyllobacteriaceae.
CCUCUGGUGUUCCGGUUGUCACGCCAGUGGCAUUGCCGGGUAGCUAUGUUCGGAAGCGAUAACCGCUGAAAGCAUCUAAGCGGGAAGCGCGCCUCAAGAUGAGAUCUCCCGGGACACAAGUCCCCUAAAGGAACCAUGUAGACUACGUGGUUGAUAGGUCAGGUGUGUAAGUGCAGCAAUGCAUUGAGCUAACUGAUACUAAUGAUCCGUGCGGCUUGACCAUAUAACCUCAAGG